GCAAUGUGUAUAAGGGGAGAGUAAAUGAGAGAGUUAUUGCACCUUUGUUGUUGUAAGUACUUUUGUUUUUUUUUUAAGUUACAGAAACAAUGGGGAAUGAAGCCAAUUGAAUGCUUAACAUGAGGGGAAAUGAGCCUUUCCAGUCUUGAACAUUGGUCUUUUUUUCAAAUCACCAUAAAGAGAGACCUUUUAUUUUUGGAUUCUUGUAUCAUUUGGUAUUAAAAGAUAAGAAAACAAAAAUUUAAUACUUCUUGACUCUUUUGUUAUCCUUCACAUAUAUUCAUUAUUGAAAUUUAUUGUUAGUUAUGUUAAUUGCUCAUUAAAAGUCUUUUGAUCUCCCGGAAUUAGAAGAGCGUCGUCUCCUAUAACAGCCUCAACUAGAUCCGCUAUGUUCCACCUCUCGGGUACGUCCCUACCGCUGAGUCGAAGCAACUCUGCGCUAUUUUUGCAGAUGUCGCGAAAUAACUGAGUUAACUCCGGUGGAGCGCUGCUGUUGCCUGCGCGUAGGGCCGUCCCCCACUCCCGUCCCGGGGCGCUAAGGGGCUUUUGUUUUUGGAACAGACGGCAGUGUUUUGCUGACGCCUCGAAUCAAGCUUUUAUUGCGACAUGCUAUGCUUUCUCCCCCAUUGCUAGUAGGUUGAUGGGUCGCGCGCCCGGCACACAUGUUUUGGCCUUGUGUGUCCAUAACUCAAAAUAGGUGACCUAACGGCCGCCGGUACGGGACUAAGGGACUGUGGGAAUAGCG
Molecule: long non-coding RNA, 745 nt
Filed under: Solanum lycopersicum (tomato)
Lineage: Eukaryota; Viridiplantae; Streptophyta; Magnoliopsida; Solanales; Solanaceae
Description: partial TCONS_00188034
Source: RNAcentral